This 373-nucleotide ribosomal RNA is filed under the name uncultured organism. RNAcentral's name for it is "partial 16S ribosomal RNA". It matches the Rfam family "Bacterial small subunit ribosomal RNA", at positions 526 to 896 of the family's 1533-position model. The record is from RNAcentral.
GUAGGUGGGCAAGCGUUGUCCGGAAUUAUUGGGCGUAAAGCGCGCGCAGGGCGGUCCUUUAAGUCUGAUGUGAAAGCCCACGGCUCAACCGUGGAGGGUCAUUGGAAACUGGGGGACUUGAGUACAGAAGAGGAAAGCGGAAUUCCAAGUGUAGCGGUGAAAUGCGUAGAGAUUUGGAGGAACACCAGUGGCGAAGGCGGCUUUCUGGUCUGUAACUGACGCUGAGGCGCGAAAGCGUGGGGAGCAAACAGGAUUAGAUACCCUGGUAGUCCACGCCGUAAACGAUGAGUGCUAAGUGUUAGGGGGUUUCCGCCCCUUAGUGCUGCAGCUAACGCACUAAGCACUCCGCCUGGGGAGUACGGCCGCAAGGCUG